RNAcentral lists this ribosomal RNA (253 nucleotides) under uncultured bacterium. Its description in RNAcentral is "partial 16S ribosomal RNA". It matches the Rfam family "Bacterial small subunit ribosomal RNA", at positions 524 to 776 of the family's 1533-position model. The record is from RNAcentral.
UACGUAGGGGGCAAGCGUUGUCCGGAUUUAUUGGGCGUAAAGAGCGUGUAGGCGGCUAGAUAGGUCCGUUGUGAAAACUCGAGGCUCAACCUCGAGACGCCGGUGGAAACCAUCUAGCUAGAGUCCGGAAGAGGAGAGUGGAAUUCCUGGUGUAGCGGUGAAAUGCGCAGAUAUCAGGAAGAACACCCGUGGCGAAGGCGGCUCUCUGGUACGUGACUGACGCUGAGGAGCGAAAGCGUGGGGAGCGAACAGG